UAAGACGAACCGCCCAAACGUUAUUCGGAAUCACUGGGCUUAAAGGGUAUGUAGGCGGCAUGGUCAGUUGGGUGUGAAAUCCCUCGGCUUAACCGAGGAAUUGCGCCCAAUACUGCCAAGCUCGAGGGAGACAGGGGUAAGCGGAACUGAUGGUGGAGCGGUGAAAUGCGUUGAUAUCAUCAGGAACACCGGUGGCGAAAGCGGCUUACUGGGUCUCUUCUGACGCUGAGGUACGAAAGCUAGGGUAGCGAACGGGAUUAGAUACCCCGGUAGUCCUAGCUGUAAACGAUGAGCACUUGGUCGAAGACUCCUCCAUAGGUUUUCGGUCGUAGAGAAAUUGUUAAGUGCUCCGCCUGGGGAGUAUGGUCGCAAGGCUG
Molecule: ribosomal RNA, 377 nt
Filed under: uncultured bacterium
Lineage: Bacteria
Description: bacterial SSU rRNA
Rfam family: Bacterial small subunit ribosomal RNA
Source: RNAcentral